Felis catus (domestic cat) is the source of this 12858-nucleotide long non-coding RNA. RefSeq lists it as uncharacterized. The transcript has 5 exons. The record is from RefSeq and is a predicted model, not a curated record. Lineage: Eukaryota; Metazoa; Chordata; Mammalia; Carnivora; Felidae.
GCCAGAGAGCAGAGUGGAGCCAGGGAAGGAGGGAAGUAACUGCUUCCCCAUUUACAUGGUUUGGCCUGCACUCCCAGCCAGGGACCCGAGGCGGGGGGAGGGGGGGGGUUGCUGGGCUGCAGCCACCGCCUCCCCCAGCUGUGCACCCCCAGAUCACAACGAUCAGAUCCUACCCUAACUAAGCAUCCUGGAAUUGAGCAAGAUGCCCUGAGCCUUCAGCCCCGCUCCCCCAGGGGCUGCAUUUUGCAAUAAGUCUUCGCCGGUGUCUCCCAGCUCUGUGGGCCCAAACCCCAGAAACAACAGCACAGCUGCGUACGCCCCCCACCCCGCUGGGCCCAGCUGUCCGGGGUGGGGUAUGCCCCCGCCCCCCAGGGGUAGGCCUCCUCGCCACCCCGCACCAGGCCUGUAUGCAGGCGGACAGGGAGUUGUCAGCUAGACGACCGGACACUCCCAUACUGGGAAAAGCUAUGGGCUGAGCCUGCCAGGCACAGCUCCCCUUCCCUCCCCAGCCGAGUCCCCCCACCCUGCCUGCUCCAGGUGCCUCCGCAGAGCCCAGGCGAGGGACACAAGGACCGUAUCUCUUAAAGAGAAAAGACCGGACGCACGUCCUGCUGGAGAUGGGGCCUCAGUUCCUAAAGGGUGGCCUCAAGGUUGCCAGACUGGACACCCGUUGUGGCCUCCUCUCCCCAAGGCUGUGUCCUCGCACUCCCCACCCAGCCUCUCCAGCACCCGUGGGUCCCUCUGCUGGAAGGAGGUGUACAUCUGACACAGCCUGGGGGGCUCCUGGAGAGCUUCCCAGAGGAAGGGGCUGCCCAGAUCCAGAGCAGGGAGAGAGUAUUCUGGAAAAAGGUGGUGUUUGGCCUCCUCUCUGAGCACCUAGCCGUAGGGGCCACUUUUACCUGCCCACACCCUUCCUCCAACUCAGCGUCUGGGCCAACCCAGGCUGCAGAGGCACAAGGGGGAAGCAAGUCCCAGGCUGUCUUAAAUCAGUGAGCCUAAGGUCAGCCGGCUGGCUUAGUUGGAAGGGCGCGCGACUCUUGAUCUUGUGGUCGAGAGUUCGAGCCCCACGUAGGGUGGAGAGAUUACUUAAAUAAAUCAAACUUAAGAAAAAAAAAUCAGUGAGUCUAAAAUUGUGGAGACAGGUCCUGGGCCUCUGCCCAAGAGCCCAGGGACACCUCGGACCCGGGCUACACCUCCAGGCCGCCCUGGCUGUUUCCGCCUCCCUGACUUCCUCUUUCUUGGUUCCCUACAGAAGCUUGGGGAGUGUGCGCAAAGUCCCAGCCUGGAGCCCCGCCUGGACACGCAGACAUGCACCAGCCCGCUCCACUGUCCAUUCCAUGCCCUUUCAGCCCAGGCUGUGGUACUACAGUCUUUCUGGCACAUUCCUUCAGUCCCGGUUUCCGUGAGGCUGCUCCUUCCCCGGGGGAUAGCCGAGUACCAGGUCUUCAUGUGACCUCAGCACUGGACUCCAGGACCACUUUCUCCCUCCUCUGCCCCACCUGACCCCAUGUCCAUCCAAGGAGCAACCGAAUUUCUUCUGUGGAAGGGCCAGCACACCGGGGACGCCCUGGGGCAUCUACUGAAAGCUGAGGGGUUCGGGCCCCUCUACGAGGGUACCUCCUGCAUAAGCCAGCCAGAUGGCCCGGUAAAGUCCUAGGAGCCGACUCAACAGCAAGGUCAGGCCGCUGGGGACCCAGGUUCGGAGCAAGUUAUGUCCUGCUGACCCCUCCCAAGGCUGGGCACAUGCUGGCACACUUCACGUAUGUGCUUAUACUGACCCCUCCAAGCGUUCCUUACGGACAGCACGACGGUCAGGCCACAAAUGCAGGACUCAGACCUGGGUUCAAAUCCCACCUCUGCCACGUAACAGCUGCGUGACUUGGGGCGGCGGGGCAACAGUGAGGGCUCCACUGACAGCAGCCCCUCUUCGAGAGUCAAGAGCAGAGGCCGGGAGGCCACCCCAGGACUUAGAGCCCACGAGGGGUCACACCGCGGCCAACCAAAGCCCUGUCGUGCCAGCAAACCGAGGAGCCCAUGGUGCACCAAAGCCAGCCGCACACCAAGCCGUGCCGAGGAGCACCACACCGCGGAGCCCAGGCCGCCUGGAGCCGUCCAAACGGGUCAGGCCCUUCGGCCACAUCUCUCCCGUCUCCCAAACUCUCUGAUUUCGCAGCCGGCCGGCCGGCCAAGGUUCACACCCACUGCAUGCCAGUCCCUGUGACGGUGAGAGGGGACGUGGUGACGGCUGAACAUGAGUCUGACCUUGAGAAGCUAGGGGGCCUGGUAGGAGAGGUAGACAGGCUCGGGAGUAUUAGUAAGCCCCAUUCGAGCUGCCAAAGACCCUUUUCUGUGGGUUCCUGUCCCAGCAAAGUCAGCGCUUCAGACUCUGAUCUUUCCCAUUCAUUUCCAGAAAUAUUGUGUGUGACACACAGCCACAGUGGGGGUUGCUCCACAGGGACCCCUCAGGAAGGAAGACAUCCCCUCCUUCCCAGCUGGUUACCUCCCUCAGCCAGGUUGCCAGGAUCCCUGCUUCCCCUCAGAGGGAGCUUCUGGCUUCCUGGGGCUAGUGCAGCUAUAACAUGCAGGAAACUUGACACACAGAGACCAGGGAUUCCGGAGAAACGUGAAUGCCCAGAGCAAUGCAAGUAGGGAUGUAUGACAGAGAGGUAGUGCCUGCCUGCCGCACAGGCUUGCGGGGAAGGGGUGUGGGAAGGGAGAGGCCCAAAGAGAAGGAAUGAGGAAGAAGGAGGUCACAUGCUUGGCAAAGGCCAAGGGGUGGGCAGCCCUCAGGAGAGGGGGCCUGUGUGUGCACAGGAAGGGGUGUGAGGGAUGGGGAGAAGGGUGAACAGUCUGGGCAGCUUGGAGCUCUAGGCAAGGGAGGCAGCAAAGCAGGGUGGAAUCCCCAGCCCUACCCUCUACCCCUGUCCUGCCAAAGCAGGGUGGGAUCCAGCACAAUCGCAGCCUCGGCUCCAGCUGAAUGCCCUGGACUUGUUCAAGGCAACGAGGCCGGAACAGCCAGACAGCCUCGUCUCCCACCCCCUCUACACACAACCAGGGGCUCUUUACCGGCCUUGGAUCUGAUGCUGGCUCUCCUGUGCUCGAAUCCUCCAACAGCCUUCCUUGCAAGCACAAUACAAUCCCUCCACCAUGCACUCUGGUGUGGCCCCGUGGACUAGGCCUCUCACCCCUCUGCCAGCACUCACUGGCGCACCAAGCCCUUUCUUGCUCUGGGCCUUUGCACACCUUGCUCCCUCUGCCUGGCAUGCUCUUCCAGCAACUUCCCAAGACAAGCUGCUUGCUGUAGGCACCUCCCCCCUCCCCAAGCCACUCCAGAGCGCCCCGUACUCUUUCUCAGCGCCCUGUUUCUCUCAUAGCACCUAUCACAACUCUUUAGGAUUCUGUGUGUACUGUCAAUCCCUCCCCGCUCUAGAUGGCCGGUUCUCAAGCCGGGGUGUGUGGGGUUGGGGGAGGAUUUUGUCCCCCAGGAGACGUUUGGCGGUGCCUGCAGGCAUUUUGGGUUGUCAAGACAUGGGGGUGGGAGAGGUUACUGGCAUCUAAUGGGUGGGGACCAGGGAUGCUACUCAACAUCCUACAAAGCACAGCAGAGAAGGAUCGGCGAGAAGUGUCAACAGCGGCCGGGCUGAGAAAAGCUGCAGAAGAGCCUACGAGAACUGGGACCCCGGCGGCGCUCAACGAACGCAAGAAGAAGGAAUGAAUAAAGAAGGGGAGAAUGGGGCAAUGGGGCAAGCGACGGACAGACGCCGAGACCCCGGCCCGUGUCGGCCCCGCCCCCCCAGGCCCGACGCCUCCGCGGACCCCGAAGCGCCUACCGCGCGGCCCCGAGGCGCGAGCCCCGGGCCGGGCGCGCCGCGCGGACACUCACCCGCCCGCGGCCGCCCGGGAGCGGCAGCGAUACCCUCCCGCUUCAUCGUGCCCCCGCGGCCGCUGGCCGGGAGACAGACCGGACGCGCGAGCCGGAAGCGCUGAGGCGCUACGCCCGCCGGGACUUGUAGUUCUCCGUCUCUCAAUGCCUGGGUCCCCGCCUCACGCGCGGCUCUCCAGAAACUACGAAUUCCGGCGGCUCCGACGUCGCGGGGCGGGAUUGGCAGCUUCAGAAUCACUCUAUGUUGCAGAUCGGAGUCUGAUUGGUUCUGUGCAUCUGUCGCUCACAGUUAAGUUCCAAGGCCUCUGCUAAAGGGAGAAGCUUCGCGAGUCUGGUUCAGGAGACCGGGGGCGGGUACUUCCGGCAUGAUUGCCCAAUCGCAGAGGUGGGGCACUUUCUAUAAAAGCUUCAGCCUCGGGCGCGUGCUUUCUUUUGGGAAGCCAGUGGCGGCCGUGGGCGUUUUUCUGUGCGGUCGCUACGAGUCCACGUUAGGGGAGGAUCUGGGCCCCGAAUGGGGCUGAGGGGUCCUCCAGGGCCAUCAUCCGCCGGGGCUCCGCCUCUGUCUUCAGCGUUGUACGCGUUCCUUGCUCCGCCCGCCUUCAACCCCCCCCCCCCCCCCCAUCGGUCCCGUUCUGUUGGGAAGGUGCGACUUCAGACCGACUUCUCUCCGCAGGGCGGUCGGUGACGUGGUUGGAGACCGUGGACGUAAAUGAACGUCAGCCCGGGGCCUGGUGGUAAGGCGGGAGUCCACGUCCGUAUCUGCGGCGCUUAACAAUAAAGCAGAGGUGGUGAGUUGAUGGGAGCGCAAGUGUCUUUAUUUUCACACGCGUUUGCUCCCCAGAGGACUCCGCGGGAGGACUGGCUCGUUCCGUGGCAGUCUUGGGAAAGGGUAGAGAAAGAUGGAUGUUCACACGGUGACCUUUCAACUAUUGGGAUGCCUUCUCGGUUUUUUUGCCUGUAAGAGCAGAAAUCCCGGGGCGGAGCCGGGGUCUUUGUCUUAAGCAGGUGAGGAACUCUUCCUCCUCACCGGCCACAGAGCACUGUUUUCUGUUUCGUUGGGUCUUGCAGAGGGAAGUGGACAUCAACCACCCAACCACCUAGGUUCCCCGUGCUCCCUAGACAGCAGCCCUAGUUGAGGGUACUACGCUCUUAGCGUUGUCCUCAACCCCUACUUUGCCGAGGGCGCAAAGAAGGGGAUUUCUUGUAACAGAAGAGACCGGCAGUCCAGAAAACACAACUUUAUUCACCAGGACUGAAAACAAAGACUCUUAACCUAGAGACCUAUGAGCUGGAGCACACUGCCAGCCUCCUGGCUUGACCUCACUCUGCACAGGCCUCAGCUGGGCUGGCAGUUCUAGUUUUCCUGACGGUUUCUGAUUUCCCACAUGCCGUUCGUGUAUUAGAAAGCCGCAAACUUGUCCUCCAGGCAACACGAGAGGAAGACCCUGCUGAUGUUUGAACCAGAGUCUCUGAGUGUGUGGGCUGGCAGCUUUGGUCCUUGGGGCACAGAUGCAUGAUUGGAUGUGCAGCGAAGCCCUCUGCCCCAGGCACGGACAGGAGUCCGGCCUUUCCCUGCCUGGGCAGCGGGUGCCGCUGAAGACAUGGCUUUUGAGGGGUUAGGCACUGUACACGUGGCGCUGGCACCAGGGUCCAGCCUUGAAGCUGGGCGCGUCCAGGAGAGGGCAGCAGAGUGCCGUGGCAGCAAGACCAGGCUCCCCGCAUGGGCUUUACAUUGUGGGGUGUCUCCUGUACGGGAAGCCGUUGCUUCUCCAUCAAGGCCUUGGGGGCAAGGCCCUGAGUCAGGGGCUGCAGACCCACUGGCUCCAUGAAGCCUGUUGGAACUGAGGCUCUAGGGAAAGACGAGGCUCUGUCUGGGAGUCCCAGAAACGGCCGCCCUCGAGUUGACUGCCAGGUGACCCUCUGUCCAGCCUUGCAGGGGCCUCCCAGAGGAUGUGCAGUGGCAGUGCCCAGUCAGGUUCAGGGUCUGCAGCAGGAGGCCCCUCGGCCCUCCCUCUUGACGUAGUCGUGCAGCCGGAAGCGAGGCUCACUGGGGACCUUCAUGGAGCGCUGCUUCAACUCCCUGUGGGGCAGAGGAGACCAUGGGACAGCUUCCCCCACCAACAGAUUCAGACUCUGGGUCUGGAGGAUCUUCCUGAUGACUACCAGCACUUACUUUGCUACGGCUGUGAAGGCCAAGUCUACGUUGAGGCCUGUCUUGGCGCUGGUCUCCAUGAAGGGCAGCCCGUACUCCUGCAAACAGCUGCUGCCAGCCAGGUGGCAGCCUGGUGGAGAUAGCCCAGGCCCUGCAACCCCAGGGACGCUCCCCGGACACCCACCCCACCCCGGCUCACCUUAGCCAAUUUCUCCCCAUCCUCCCUUUUCACCACACGCUCCUGGGCAGAGUCCACCUGGCAUGGGGGGGUGGGUCUUGGUGAGAGCUGGCCCAGGGCUUACCCUACCACCCCUGCCCCCAUACAGAGCCACGGUGGAGAGGAUGGGCUGGGGUGCCCACCUUGUUCCCCAGCAGCAUGAGCACCACGUCAUGUUGGGCGUAAUCCUGGAUCUCCGUCAGCCAGGCCUGUGGGGGAAAAGCUGAGACCAGGCUGGAGGCUGGCACUCUGCUCGCCCCUUGCCCCUCCAGGCCUCACGGCUUGGGGUGCCCGUUGGGCUCUGGCUAAUAGGAAGGCCCAGAAAUCGAGGUCCCCGGGUCCUGUUGAGGCACCCUCGACAAGCACCUUACCCAAGGUGUUGGACUGACAGAGCUGGAAGGUCCUCGGACUCCCUUCAGCUCACACUCCACCUGAGCCACCAGAGGGGCCGUCUCCCUGCCGUCGGUAGGGUCCUUAGCCCCCUGGGACCCCAAUGCCAUCACGGCCUGUUUCUGCCACCACCACCAGGAAGGAAACCACUGACCUGGAUAUUGUCAAAGGAGGCCUUGUUGGUGACAUCAUAGAGCAGCAGCAGUGCUGGGGGCAGAGGACGAGUGAGGACACCUCCAGGGCCCACCACAGCUUCUUGUCACCCACACCCACACGCAUCACAGCCUCCACACUUCCUGCCAUGCUCCUGCCCAGGGCACCCUCCUCCGUGCAGAAGCCAGGGAAACCUGACACCCGCGAGAGCACAGCCUCUGACUCCCCGGGACUGGCGUCCCCCACCCACAAGCUCACCAUGAGCAUCGCGGUAGUAGGCGUGGGUGACGCUCCGGAACCGCUCCUGGCCAGCUGUGUCCCAGAUCUGGAGUGACAGGCACAGGGCCGCCAGUUCCUCCUGGGUGUUCACUACCCUCAACCCUCUGCCCCCCCCGCUGCUCCCCACACCACUCACCUGCAGCUUCACCUUCAUGCCAUCCACAUCCAGAACUUUGUUCUGAAAUAACAACCAGCCCGGUCCAGCAACCAACAGCUAGAACACUGCUGCCCUCCGGUGGGGAGCUGCCAGCUUCCCCCCUCACCGCGCCUCCUGCACCUCCCCCUGGCUCCUGCCGAGGGCUGAAGAAGGCUCUAGUGCUCCCUACCCAACUGGCAAACCUCUUCUUAAUCUCCCCCGUCCUCCUAAAAGAGAAGACCCACAGACCCUGGGGGUGCGGAAGGCAGCAUAUGGGAAAUGGUGAGACUGGGCCCCGCGCGGGGGCGGGGGCGGGGGCGGUGUCAUUCGGGACCCGGGACGGAGCACCUGCCAGGUCUGGGACCCUUUGUCCAGCCCUGCCAGCUGUGGCGUUAGGGGGCAGACCUUGCCAGCUGUUGGGUAUCUGAAAUCCGGGUCUGAAGGCUGUGUGUGUAUGCCGUGCACCGUGCCAGCUGCUGGAUGCCGCUCCGGCGGGCUCCCCGCCGAGGGUCUGCGGGGCCCUGCAUCCCCUCCCCGACCUCUCCCGGCUCGGCUCGGGCGGAGCGCCACCUGCUGCGCUCGCCUGGGGCGGGGGCCGGCUCACCUUGAAGGCGACAUCGUAGAAGUCGCCGCCGCCAAGCGAGGGCCGGCCGGGCUGCGGGGGUCCGUUGGGCCGCGCCUGGGGGCCGGGGCGUGCAGUCCCUGGGCGCGCCGGCCGGGACCCGUCGGCCGCAGGCAGCGCGGAGGCAGCGGGCCCGCUGGCCCCCUUCCUCUUGGGGGUCUUCUUCCUGGACAUGACGGGCGGGCGCUCAGGGAGCUCCCGCUGCAGCCGCCGCGCCCCGGGCCGCUCUGCUGCCCGCGCCCGCCGAGCGCGACACGGACCCGAACCCGUCCCGCGGCGGCGGCGGCGACGGCGGCGGCAUCGCGGGCGCCAGGCUCCCCGCAGCCCCGCCCCCGCGCCCCACAGCCCGCAGCCACUCAGGCCCGGCCUCCCCUCGCCGCCGCCAAUGGCCGCGCUGGGGCGGGGGCAUGCAAAUGAGCCGGCCGCCCUGGGGCGGGGUCACGAGGCGCAGGCCCUGCCCUAUAGGUGCUCCGGGUGGGCUCGCGUCCGCCCGGUGCGUGCAGCUCCCGCCCUGCCCCAGGCCCUGCGACCUCACUCCGUGGCCACCUCCGUGAGGCGGUGGGUCUGGGUGAGGCGGGAUCCUGUCGUUUUCCCGCUUGUACCCCCCCCCCCCUGCUCCUUGCCCAGUGACCCUCACUGGACGGCCUCUGGGCGUGGGACGAGAGGAUUGCCCGAGAAGGGGGCGCUGAGGCAGUGGGACUGCAUGGGGUGGACACGCUGGGUUUCUGUCCCUUCUCAGCCAGAGAUGCCACCUGGUCUGCUGCGCCCUCACUUCUCCCCUUAGGGCAGGCAAACAAACCCGGGAUGGGGGGCUCCCAGUGCUCUGGGCUCAUCUGACGGCUGGUUACCAGAGGCAGGACACAGCUAGCACUUGAGAGCCGCAGGGCGCCCUCCCCCGCAGCUUCUGCCCGCUGGGCUGAAGCCUCAGGACCCUUGGGUAAAGGGAAAUCCACCUUAGGGCAGUAGCAAGCCCUCUGAGGGGCCUUUUCCCUGGGGCUCUGCCCUCAGGGGUCUGGGAGGAGAAGGGGCUAGGAGGUUCCUCCCCCAGAAUGUGGCUAGCCUCUUGCCCUUCUGGUGCCAGGUUCUGGCCCCAAGGGGGCCAAGUGCUGACUGUCCAAAUCCCAUGCUAGGCCCUGGCAGACCAGCCUCCAGAGCCUGACACCUCCUCUCCGCCUGAACUGUCUGUCUCCACCCAAGAGUCUCUGGGUUUUGAGAAUGAGGCUGAGACAGUCAUGGAAUCCCAGGAGCAGUGAGCCAACAUGCCCCUCACCUAGGGCUUGGGGGCAGCGGGUGUAGGCACAAAGGCAUUUCUUCGGGGAUCAGCCUUUGCUCCAUACCGCUCUGGGAGCUGGAGGGUUGGCCUGGCUGUCCCCUAAGAUGUGACAGCUGACACAUGGACCCUAGGUCCUUCAGAGGCCUGAGCCCUCUCAGCUGGCAGGUGCCAAAGCCCAAAUAAUUAUAAUAGACAGAAGAUGCCUCUAGGGCUCAGAGAUUGGGGACAACACAACAGAGUGAUUUUCCAAGAGGGGCUGGCAAGGCCCUUCACGGGAGAGGCUGUGGAAAUCGCCCUUUCCCGAGUGUCACUGUGUGCCAGGCACAAGUUAUCCUCAAACCUAUCCUGUGAAGCGAGUAGUGCUAUGAUCCCCAAUGUUCAGAUGGGAAAACUGAGGCCCAGAGACGGAAAGGGAGCUGUCCAAAAUCACCAGGCUAGAAAGUGACAGAGCCGGGGUUUGUACCUAACUCUUGGCUCCGGAGAACAUACACUGCCCCUUGGCAGGGUUGGCCCAGGAUUCUCUGGAGACCCAUCCCUCAGGGCCCUGGCAGAGCCGGGGGGACAAGCCUGAGGAAGCCCUCUGAGGGCCUACUCUCUUGUCUCACUCCUCUUCUUCCAGGCCAAUGCAGAUGUGUGGGCAGUGGGGCUUGGGGUGGGAAUGUGGAGCUCCCACUGCUGGGGCCCUGGGGAUUCCAGGUGACCUACCCUCCAUGAGGCCAACUUCAGGGUAGCCGCCCCAGGGUCUCAGCCAGUGCCCACUAAGCCCAGGAUCCAGGGCGACCAGAAAGGAGUCUGGGGUGCCCGAGGGGUGGGGGCUGUAGGUAAGGCAGCCUGAGUCGAGGGUGGGGCUAAUGCUAAUGGGGUAAUGGGAAGAGGGAAGGUAGCAGACACUUCGGAGAGACUGGGGGGCCAGGAUGGGCGGGAAGCUGAAAGCAGCAGAAAGGAAAGACUUGACCUUGUAACCUUUAGAAUCAGAGUAUGUGUAUGUAAAAACCCAGGUCUCCGGUUUGUUUUGAAGAGAGAGUUCGAGGUCCCUGGACCACAGCAUCCCUCCUGCCGCUCCUGCCUUCCAGCAGUCCUCCUAAUCUUUGAUCAUUAUGUCCCUUGGUUCCUCUGUUCGCCAUCUGUCUCAUUCCCCGGAAUGAAGUUCUCUGGGUACAGGAAGCAGCUUGUCUUGGUCACUGCCAUAUUCCCGGCAGCUGGCUCCAGGCCUCAAUAAACUAUUAUUAAAUUCGUGAAAGAAAUAUGAGUUAGAAACGGGCCCCACUUCAGGAGGACACGUCAUUGCCAGCAAGGAUUUAAGGCAGAAGGUACGUCCGUGUGCAGUGAGGCAGGACUAGCGUUACCGAGUAGUGAGAGCAGGGCCUUGUGGAGGAGGGGCAUUUGCUCCAGGCUCAGAAGGUUGAACGGGAGUCCAGCAGGAGAGGACACAGAGAAACUUGCCAGGUAGAGGAGUGAAUACGUAUAAGCUCAGAGUGCCAGUGGGUGGGCUUUUGGAGAGGAGGCCACAGUGUCGUGUCCUGAUGCUUGGAGAAAAUCUCAUCGGUAACACAGGAGGGGGCUAGAUUCGCAAGUGAAUGUGAAAGUUCAGCCUAGGGGCUUGGAAAUUGUUCGGCGAGAAGUAGGGAGCCAUGCACAGUUGCUGAGCAAAGCCAACAGAGGACUUUGCUACAGGGGUACAGGAGGUAAAGUGGAGGGGGUGCAGGGUGCCGCCUGUAGAUGGGGAGAUGAGUUGGAAAGGGGUGGCAGGAACCCAGGGUGGGGGGAAUCAGCCCCUGGGGCAGAGGCAGCACAGCGCUGAGGUACACUAAGGGGCGACUUCUCUGCCACCCCUCCCGAUCAGGAGGGAAGGCCUCGGUCUCCUGCCUUUGGGUCUGUGAUUGCUCUGACCAGUACUUAUGGCUGAAGUGGCCCUGUGUCCGUUUCUGGACCCAGACCUUCCAGACUAGCAGCUCCUACAUCCCUUCUCCUGAAACACUCAUUCUUGGGCCCCAGCUGACAUACCGUGAGAAAGUCCAAGCAGCCUUGUGAAGAAUCCCGGGUGGAAAGGAACUCACUUGCCGCCCGUGGAGGACAGGAGUUGUCCUGGCAACGGGCGCUUAGUUCUGGUGGGUUCCAUGCGGAGCAGGGAUGAGCUAACCCCACUGAGCCCUGCCCAAACUGCAUUUGGGGGAUUUUUGUUCCACAGAAAUAGAUAACUAGAACAGGCUGCCAGCCAGGGGAAGGAAGGGGGCCAGUUUGGUGGGAAAGGUCAGCAGGCUGGCCUUGACCGGACUUGGGGAAGCCCAGACUGUUGGGAUCUUCAGGCCUGCAAAGAAGACCUCUGGGCCUCCAGGGCAGGUCCCUGAGGCAGGGUGUGGCGCUGAGGUGAGUGCUGAGGCUGAGCUAGAGUGCGGAGUGAAGGAAGGGUGCCUGUGGGCCUAACCCUCCUCGCAGGGGGCUGGUUCUGCUGGCCAGAGAGGGUGGACACAUAUCUGUGUCUCAGCAAAGGGAGAGAGCAAUCCCAGAUAUGUUCCCGCCUCACUCCUGGAUCCUCCCUCCAGCACCCUGUGGCGGCCUGGGUUCCUGAUGCCUUCUUGUGCCUGGGCCUCCAGCUCCGGGCAUGCUGCCCUCUGACUUGCCCAUGACAGACCCUCUGUCAUGGAGUGACGUGUGCCAUGAGUACCCAGACACAACAACUCUCUGGGACCUACGGCCUGAGGCAAUCCCUCUCUGGAGCCCCAUUUUCCAAGCCGGCCAGCCUUACCGACACAUUCUGCUGACCCACGGGGCCAUGGUCCUGGAGCCAGGCAGUCUUCCUCGUCCUUCCAGGCACUGCUUGGAGCCCCCUCCUCCAGGCAGGCAGCCUUCCAGGCUCCUCCCACCCCCACUCCUUGCUCUACAGACACGCUGUGGACACACAUUUGCUCCCCAAGGGUCCCUCAGGAGGCUGCAUGGCCUCCGCACCAGCCUCUGAGCUUCCUGAGGACGGCACCCGUCCUGUCUCCACCAAGCACUCAAUGAACAGCUCAAACACCUUAUGCUCUAUGAAAUCCACGUGAGCGUUGCCAUGGAGACGGCAGAGAGGAACUGUAGCAGCUCCCCCCAGAAGACAGAAGAGAGAGUCACCCCAGGAAGCGGCUGAUGUCAGAGGUGUGCUCGCCCCCUCCCCCCAGUGCCAAGGUGCACAGGGGCCACGCUGAGCCCCUGCUCCCUCCUGCUCCCGCGAGGCUGAGAGGAGACACCCCGCCUGCGGCACUCACCUGGGUUGCACCCAGGCCCUCCCCGACAGGACAGGUGGUAAGGGGUGGGUGUCCGCCCGUUGGGGCAGGGACUAUUGUGUGAGGGCUGGAGCAGUGGGCGGUCUCCCUGCAAGCCUGACUGCCCUCUGCCAUCCCUUCCCCCCGUGGCUCAGGUACUCAGACCUGAGUGCUCUUGGCGGUCCGUCUCAGGAUGCAAAAUGGGCCUGAGCCCCGCGGGCUGCUGCUCGGUCCGACUCUGCACUCAGGCCCCGGGCCGGUGAGACCUCUGUCUGGAGGAGCACAGGACAGCCCCCCACUCCAGGCUCUCCGGGCAACCUUUGAGUGCUGUGCUCGGAGGCAGAGGUAUAAAGGAAUAAAACGGAUACCUGUGUAGCCAUGACAACGGCAGCAGUCCGAGCACCGGCUGCGCCUGGUGUGGGCCAGUGAUGCACUCGCCUUGUCUCUCCUUUUCUCCUUAAUUAUGAAAGUGAUCUGUGACUUCCGCCCACGAGAAAUAAAAGUGCUUGGAGCG